CUGGACUCCUGCUGCAGACAGGGAGCAGAGCACCGCACCUUGAAAUACGGAGAAAAACCUGAAAACGCUAAGAGGUGGAGUGACAACUUGCAUUCAGCUGUUUCAGAAACAUUGUUGACCACCUACUCAAUGUGAAGAUGACGAAGAUGAAAGCCUUUAUGAUGAUCUACUUCCACUUAAUAAAUGGAAACCAGCUGCCAUGCAUGAGGAUACUCCAGCAGCUUAUGGAGAAGUCCAUGUGGUGAGGAACUGGGGUCGGUCCACAACCACCUGAGUGAACCUGAAAGUGGAUCUUCCCCUCACUCAAGCAUUGAGUUGACUGCUGGCCCAACCAACAGUUUGUCUGCAACUUCAUGAGAGACCCUGACUCAGAAGCACUCAAUUAACUCAUGAAAACGACUCCAAUAUGAAUGGUGAAUGUAAUUUAAUGUGUCAUGGAAAUGCAGAGCUGUAGAACUGAUUAUUUUUCCCAGUAUAAAUGGAAGAGCUCUAAUCUACAAGUGGAGGUGAAGCAUCCCCAGUGGCCAGGAGGACAACCUUGCCCAGUGACCUUUCCUAGAAGAAGGUAUCGAAGUGCUAAGAUGAGGAUUUCCACAAAUUUCUGCUCAGGCAACACCACCCAUCAUCAACUGAGUUAAUGCCCAUCCCUAAAUGUGUGUAACAUGGGCGAAGUGAAUUUUUUCUUUCUCUGUCAUGCUCACUUCCCACUUACCUGCUAGAGUAAGAGUAUACUAGCAUAUUAUUUAGACAUCUAGUUUUUAAUAAUAUUCAUUUUCAUACAACAUGACCACAAAGAAGAAACUGUUAUAUCUUAUAAUGGAAGAAAAUCUGACUGUGGAGAAGUUACUGAGAAAUGGUACAUCUGCAUUAUGCUUUAUGGGUGAUUUAAAGGAUUUUCAAAUAUUAUUUUGACUACAGGUAAAAUAACUGUAUAAUUUAUCAUACAAAUUUGAAAGCAUUUGAGUCAGACAGGAUAUUAAUGAUAAUUAGGCUGAAAUGACAGGCAUAAAUGAAGAGCCUUCUGGUAAAUUAAAAUGUAG
Molecule: long non-coding RNA, 1040 nt
Filed under: Pan troglodytes (chimpanzee)
Lineage: Eukaryota; Metazoa; Chordata; Mammalia; Primates; Hominidae
Description: long non-coding RNA NONPTRT012450
Source: RNAcentral